GCGUUGGGAGCUCUCCCAUAUGGUCGACCUGCAGGCGGCCGCGAAUUCACUAGUGAUUGUUUGAUCCUGGCUCAGAACGAACGCUGGCGGCGUGCUUAACACAUGCAAGUCGAACGCGAAAGGGACUUCGGUCCUGAGUAAAGUGGCGCACGGGUGAGUAACGCGUGGAUAAUCUACCCGACGGACCGGGAUAACAUUUCGAAAGGGGUGCUAAUACCGGAUAAGACCACGGCUUCUUAGGGGGCUGCGGUAAAAGGUGGGGACCUUCGGGCCUACCGUCAUCGGAUGAGUCCGCGUACCAUUAGCUAGUUGGUAGGGUAAGGGCCUACCAAGGCGACGAUGGUUAGCUGGUCUGAGAGGAUGAUCAGCCACACUGGAACUGAGACACGGUCCAGACUCCUACGGGAGGCAGCAGUGGGGAAUUUUGCGCAAUGGGGGAAACCCUGACGCAGCAACGCCGCGUGAGUGAUGAAGGCCUUCGGGUCGUAAAGCUCUGUCAGAGGGGAAGAAAUGCAGGGGUGCUAAUAUCAUCUUUGCUUGACGGUACCCUCAAAGGAAGCACCGGCUAACUCCGUGCCAGCAGCCGCGGUAAUACGGAGGGUGCGAGCGUUGUUCGGAAUUAUUGGGCGUAAAGCGCGUGUAGGCGGUUUGGUAAGUCUGAUGUGAAAGCCCCGGGCUCAACCUGGGAAGUGCAUUGGAAACUGUCAGACUUGAAUACGGGAGAGGGUAGUGGAAUUCCUAGUGUAGGAGUGGAAUCCGUAGAUAUUAGGAGGAACACCGGUGGCGAAGGCGGCUACCUGGACCGAUAUUGACGCUGAGACGCGAAAGCGUGGGGAGCAAACAGGAUUAGAUACCCUGGGUAGUCCACGCCGUAAAACGAUGAGUACUAGGUGUUGCGGGUAUUGACCCCUGCAGUGCCGCAGCUAACGCAUUAAGUACUCCGCCUGGGAGUACGGUCGCAAGACUAAACUCAAGGAAUUUGACGGGGGCCCGCACAAGCGGUGGAGCAUGUGGGUUUAUUCG
Molecule: ribosomal RNA, 1023 nt
Filed under: Pelobacter propionicus DSM 2379
Lineage: Bacteria; Pseudomonadati; Thermodesulfobacteriota; Desulfuromonadia; Desulfuromonadales; Desulfuromonadaceae
Description: bacterial SSU rRNA
Rfam family: Bacterial small subunit ribosomal RNA
Source: RNAcentral